This is a long non-coding RNA of Rosa chinensis, 2002 nucleotides long. RefSeq lists it as uncharacterized. The record is from RefSeq and is a predicted model, not a curated record. NCBI's taxonomy places the organism in Eukaryota, Viridiplantae, Streptophyta, Magnoliopsida, Rosales, Rosaceae. The transcript has 12 exons.
AGACAUACAAAUUAGGGAAAUAGACACUGUACCAAAUAGUCCAGAUUUCAGCAAGAGUACCACUUUUCUGUGAAAUUCGGCGAGAAGGAAAGACGGCGGUGAUACAUGAAUGCUGAGAAGAUGCGGCGGAGAUUUUCAAUUGGUUUCCCAUUAUUCUAAAAAAAAAAAGCGUCAAAGAGUUCCUAAGAGUCGGAAAAGGCCCUUUUUAUCCUGACUGUUCGAGGAGAAUAUCAAUGGGGUGGAAAAGUCGUUUCUGUCCUUGCUCUUCUCUGUGUCAGAUGGGUAUAAUGAUCGGGGUUUCUGUCCUUGCUCUUCUUUCAACAAAAGAGAGAAGCGAGCAGAGAGAAAAGAGGGGAGAGAAGAAAGAAAAGAACAGUUGCAAGAUUGUUGGGGUACAAGAAAGAAGAGGAGAGAUUGAAGAUUUUGGUCGAAGAGGUUGCUGGGUUUUGGAAGAGGUGUGUGUUUCAUUUGGGUAUAUGUUUGAUUUAGAACAAAACAGCGACUAAAGUGUCAGACCUCUACAGUUUAAAAUCAAGGAUAAGGGAUUUUGUUUUUUAUUUCAUGCUUCGCUGAAUAAUCAUACUGAUAGCUUAGACAUUGUCUGAAUGCUUAUGCCUUUAGUAACUAUAUCUGGAAAUUGACUGAAUGUUUUUGCCCUUGGUUUUCUCAGUUUUGGAUAGGGAUUGUUGUCGGGUUUGGAAUUCAGCCAUUCAGCCACUCAGAUCAAGAUCAAAAAAAGUAAAAGAAGAGAAAAGAAGGAAAAGAAGAAUCGAAGAGAGGGGAAGAUCUCGCCGAGAAUAGACCGGUUCAAAGUCAGAUCAGAGAGUUGUAAUUAAUCAAAAGACAUAUUACUACACCAGGAAGCAACGUCCUUAGUCGUGAUUUUGCUUUCAGCUUUCGAGUGUGCACAGUGCAAUGAGAGGAACAAUGAGGUUCAGUUUGCUGGUGAGCUUCAACCCAAGGGUUGUAACUACCACUUGAAGGUUCCUUCUGGGGAUCCCAAGAUGCUUGAUAGACAAGUGGUGAAAGCUGAGUUUGCUACUAUUAAGGCCCUUCACUGUCAUGAAGAAAGGAAGUCUUUGUUUGGGGAUUUAGAGGCACAUUACUAAUACAAGUGUUAAGAAGCUUCACAUCACAAGCAUUGACAGCUUCCAGAUUGCAAAAAGCAAGAACAACUUCCAAAUGUCGAUUAAUCAUGCAGGUGAGGCUGCAGUUCGUUCUUGGCUGAAGAGAACUAAGAAGGUUCCGAAGAGGAGUGCAAAAUCAAAUCAGAAACUGGCAAAGAAAUAUAAGAAAAACAAAGACGACGAAGAGGAUCAAGAAGAAGUCGAUGAAGAUGAGAAGGAAGAGGAUGAUGCCCAGGACUAAUAUGCUGUGAUGUGUGAGGCUUUGAUGUCUGAAGAGAGAGAGUGUAAGAGUUCAGUUUUACAAGAUAAGGAAAGCUUUUUUGAAGCAGCUGAAAAUGUUCCUGGGGUAAUAUUUUCAACUUAGUUCUCAUUUUGUUAUUAAGAUUUGGUUGUAUUGAAUUUAAUUGUGAUUUGUAUUCUUAUAGAUUUUGUGAUAGUUUUGGUUGAAAGAAACCGGGGAAGGGUUUUGAUUCUUUUUGAUAUGUAGCAUCUGGCGAAGAUGUGAUUCCAUGAAGUCAAGGUUGCUGUGAGUCCCUGUGACAAGUCAAGGCAUGAGAAAUUGUAUCAUUCAUUUAUGAUCAUUGAUGAGAAAACUUAUAAUGCUGGAAGAAAAAUGGGGAUUUUGGCUUCUCAUGCAUUUUACCCAACAUCCAAUGUUCUUAAGUUUGUCUGUUUUUACUUCUUGCUUGAAGAAUGAAGACAUGAACUACUACAAAAGUUCUCACUCAGAUAGACUUGUACUGUAGACAAUCGAUUGUUAGAGAGCAGACAACCACAAUUUCCUCUUAUAGGCCGAUAAUUUAUUUGUUUGUUGUGUUGUUUUGUUCAAGUACUUGGUGCGUCAGCAUUAUAAGGGAGCUGAAAGAUUUUAUUUU